RNAcentral lists this long non-coding RNA (294 nucleotides) under Brassica napus (rape). Its description in RNAcentral is "long non-coding RNA (BNAP_LNC024665)". Lineage: Eukaryota; Viridiplantae; Streptophyta; Magnoliopsida; Brassicales; Brassicaceae. The record is from RNAcentral.
AUGAUGCUAAACUUGUAGUUGUGUUUUACGGGUGGGAUGUACAUUACAUAUGUGUACAUGUGGAUAGUAAAAAACGAUGUUGUGUAAUACUAGUAAAUGUGUACAUGUACAUGUUCAGUGUCCAUAUGGACAACGUGUGAACAACAUAUUUGGAAGAUACAAAUGUACAGUGUCCAUCUGUACAUGACGCUAAACUUGUGAUAGGUUUUUUGGUAGGGGAAGUGUACAUUAAAUAUGUGUACAUGUGGAAACAACGCAGACAAGAAAAUGUGUACAUGGAAGAAACUGAUGUAC